RNAcentral lists this ribosomal RNA (253 nucleotides) under uncultured bacterium. RNAcentral describes it as "partial 16S ribosomal RNA". It matches the Rfam family "Bacterial small subunit ribosomal RNA", at positions 524 to 776 of the family's 1533-position model. The record is from RNAcentral.
UACGGAGGGUGCAAGCGUUAUUCGGAAUUACUGGGCGUAAAGCGCACGUAGGCCGUUUUGUAAGUCAGGGGUGAAAUCCCACGGCUCAACCGUGGAACUGCCUUUGAAACUGCAGAACUUGAAUCCUGGAGAGGGUGGCGGAAUUCCUGGUGUAGGAGUGAAAUCCGUAGAUAUCAGGAGGAACACCGGUGGCGAAGGCGGCCACCUGGACAGGUAUUGACGCUGAGGUGCGAAGGUGUGGGUAUCAAACAGG